AAUAUAAAAUUUCACUUAUAUAAGGUACCCAGAGUAAUCGAAUUCUCAGACAGAAAAUGGAGUGCUUACUAGGGAUGGGGCUUAGGUGGGUGAGGCGGGGAGUCGUGUUUGGUGGGUACGGAGUUUCGGUUUGGGAUGAUGAAAAAGUUCCCGAGACGGACCGUGGUGAGGGUUACACAAUACUGUGAAUGCACUUAAUGCCACUGAAAUGUACACUUAAAAGGGUUAAGAUGGUGAAUUUUAUGUUGUUUAGUGUACCGCAAUAAAAAUUUAGUUGGAAGCAUUCCAUGAUUAAAAAAAAAUUUUUUUUUACUUACUUCUCUACAUGUCCAACCUCCCAUCAGUACAACUAAUGUGUACCAAAAAAGCAAGCAGAAAAAAAAAGACAUCAUUAAGUUUAAAGACAAACUCUCUAGAAUCUACAGCCCACAAACCAGAUGGUCAGUGACUGUGUACACAAGGAAUUGCCUUUUGUGCCAAGGCAAUGAGGAAAGAGGGAGCUGAAAAAGAAACUCUCAUUUAAACAAAUAUUUGCAAAAUGUUUUCAGAAAUCUGGUGCGCAGGUAAAAUAUAAUGUCCAUCCUUAUUUAUUAACGAUGUUUUCACCAAAGGAAGAAGGGAUAACGCUGUAAAGCAUCAAAAAAAUAACGCUCACCAAGUCAGAACCACACCAUUGGCGAAAGCACACGAUCGCUAACCGCUAAAUACCGGGCAAAGAACGAAACCCUGAACUUGGGAGAGGCUAAAUGCACUUUGGAAAACACUUCAAGUUCAGUCCUCAGCGGAUCGAGCUGACGUGGAAGCCAGCAAUACGAAUGGCAGGCCUUAUUUUCCAGAAAGGCUCUGGAGCGCUUCCACUGUGCCCUGUUCUGCUGUUUCCGGACUAUCUUUGGCUGCUCUACACCGAACAUCGACUGGGUUAGAGGAAAUGUCUUCAACAACACGAGCGUCCCUUGUCACUAUCCAAGCUCACUGAAGGGACCACGUCCUACUUAUCUUCCGAACUCUACGCUACGCAGCAUGCCUACCGCAGAAAUGCACUCAUUGUCUUGAAUAAAUGAAUAUAACUGCCACAGAGAAUCUUCUUACACAGCCCUGACGUUGGUUCCCCAGAAAUGGCCACUACCUGCUCAUACUGGUCCUACUUGAGUCCACGGAGAAUACAACAUACUCUUCGUCCCAUGAAUGCCUUUCUCAUUGGAAAA
Molecule: non-coding RNA, 1205 nt
Organism: Sus scrofa (pig)
Lineage: Eukaryota; Metazoa; Chordata; Mammalia; Artiodactyla; Suidae
Source: RefSeq, a predicted model, not a curated record